This is a non-coding RNA of Trichonephila inaurata madagascariensis, 82 nucleotides long. Lineage: Eukaryota; Metazoa; Arthropoda; Arachnida; Araneae; Nephilidae. The record is from the annotation of a GenBank genome assembly.
GACGAGGUAGCCGAGUGGUUAAGGCGAUGAACUUCUUAUCCAUUUGGCUCUGCCCGCGUGGGUUCGAAUCCCAUCCUUUUCG